GGUUUCCAAAGGAAGGGCUCUGUCAAUUAACUCCUCCUCUUCUGGCCCACUGUCAGUGGUCAGUACGAUCUUCUGCCAAUACAAACAGGAGAGCAGAAGUGGGGUGAGUGUAAAAACACUUUGGGCACUGCAACAGGUCCACAGAAUCCUCCUGUGGCAGUCAGGAUAACAGAAUGUACUUCCCAGCACCACUGGCCCAGGGAGUGAAACGUUCCAAAGUACCUGACAGGUGUGGGAACUUCAAACCAGGCUCCUGCAUCACUUAAAACCCUAUUUCAAAUUACUGUUUCUAAGCUGAAUUCACAGAUUUCUAAUCACAUUUUCAGGAAUGUACCUCCUUUCCACUAAAGAAAAUAUGUUUUAGCUACCUCUUGAACUUUGCAAAGACCUGUCAUGCUCCUAUGGAAGGACAGAACAAGCCAGAGGCCAAACUGAUUUAACUUCAAAAUGCAAUUGCCUCAGCAGAACAUCAGGUAGAAGAAACAAGCUCAGAUGACCUAAUACAUGAAGAAUUAAUUAUAAGCAGUUCUUUAAAAGAGGAAUCAAAAUCUGAGAGAGGCUAAAGGUCCUAAAUCACAAUUUUCUGAUGGUUCUGAUCUGUUUCCACAAGCUUGGGAAGGAAAAAAAAUCUGAAAUUUGCAUUUUAUAACCUUUGCUCAUGUCUGACUCUCUACAGAGGCAAGAAUUGAAGCUCCUUACAAUUCAGGAAUUAACAAUUACACACUGAAAUGAUGACAGCUGAUUGCAACCAGAGUAACUGGAAAAAGCAGUGUCUUGUGUGUGUGUAGAUGCACAUUUAAAAGCAAACUCAUUUAAAAACAACAACAAAAAAUAACAGUCUAAAGAGUGGUUUAGCAGAUCUGGACAUUUAAAGAUAACAAGCCUAAUAAACUGAGAAGAUUCAGAGAAUUAAAGUGUCUGUAAUUUCACUGACAGAGGGGAAAUCAAACCGAGCUGUGACCAUUUCAGUAGCUGAGGAACUUUCUGUUGUUGCCACAUUAACUGAUGUUUGUCUUGCUCAUCUGCAAACUGUCCUGUGACACCAGGAGCUUGUCCUGAAGGAAUGACAAACCAAACCCACUGUGUCCCCAUAUCACAGCCAUGCCAAACCCUGCAGAGGAAAGGGGAUGUGGAGAAUGAGAGAAGAAAAGCACAAAUCCCAUCUGUGUGACUGGAGCAGUGAGAUCAAAUGGGACUGACACACACAAAGUUCUCCCAGAAGGAAGAAAAGGCAUGUUCAUCCUGUGAUUUCAGAUCUUGUCCCAUGGAAUGCACCAGGAAUAGCUGAACACCAAACCAAAUCCCCUCACAAGCAAGAUUGGCAGCAUCCCAUUAUUUAAAAGCACAGAUAUGUGUAUUUUAUCAGCCCAAAAUAUGAAGAUAUCAGGUCCUAAUACACCUCAUCCAACCUAAAUGAUUACAUAUUGUAGAGGGAAGUCCCUCUAAACUAAAAGGCUGGCACUUCUUGGACAUUUGAAAAGAACAUUUACUUUGGCAUGGAAAGUGAUCUGGUUUGGAAUAUUGUUCACACUUACUGCACAUUUGUUCACGAGAUCCGAACCUGCAGUGGAAAGCAAAAACAUUAUCAGAAGAAAGCUCAUACAAUCCCAAGAAUGUUGAUAUAUGCUCUGAAAGAUCACCUAGCAAUGUGCUUCCUAAACCACUCCACGUGCAUGAUGCUUUUCUGAAAACUCAGGGCACACUGAAAUGACACUCCUGAGGUGAAGAGGUGACAGGUUGCUGCCAAGACUCUGAGACCUUUCUGUCCCCUUCUGCAUCACUGUCCCCACACCACAACUAGUAUUCAUCUAUGAAAAAAAUGAACUGAUGAAACUGCCUGCACAAGACAAGCUUAUUAAAAAGGAAAAAAAAAGGAAAAGAAUUGUUAAUAACUUUCUACUGGAUUAACAAGUUAGGUCAGUUCAUCAUCUGGUCAGAUGAUUAUUAAGGGGGUGGGAUUUUAUGGGUAGUUCCAUUAACAAACCCAGGAAACACUGGGCAAAGAAGAGAGGUGAGAAGGAGGGAGUGUACAGCAUCCUGCAGCACCAUGAAGGUGGAUGGGCUCAGACCUAUUGUCUAAUUUCACCCUGAUGUGCAAUCACCUUUAUUUUCAGAGCAACAGCUCUGUAAUGCUACACAGUAACAGUUUCUAUUGUGCAAGGCAAGUGAGGGAGAAAAAAACCCUUUUUGAGAAAAUUAAGCUGCACACAAGAAAAAAUUAAAGUGUAUUCCUGAAUGAAUUAAUAUAAAAAGCUCUGCUGUGUGGUGAUUAAAAUCUGACACAACAGAGAACAGAUCUGUCAGUGGCAGUGGAAUUGCUGAGAAGGGAUCAGCUAAAUGGGUAAAAUGUUUGCACUUUGUGGGAUCUGGACAGGAUUUUUUUCUGAACAUGUUUCUCCAAUAUUUGAGUGCCCUGAAAUCAGUCAGGCGUUUUCCAGCACUGACACAUCACCUGCCGUGGGAGCAAAGUGCCAUCUGGUGGCACCUGGACACAUCCAGCGUGUCCCCUGCCUGCUCAGGAGGAGCAGGACUGGCCUCUUGCAUGGCAGCAGCGACACAGGUGUGACAUGAGAAACUUCCACUUUUUAAAUUAAAACUCUUUAAAAUAAAAUCCCACGUUUAGCUAUCCACUUACUCUUCAGACACAGGGAUGGCACUGCUGGCCCACCAGUCACUCACCUUGAGAUUUGAGCGUGUAUUUGUGAGCAAUGACCGAGUCCAGAUGUGCUGACAAAAGAAACCUUUCAUUUAGUCAAACUCACCAUGGAGCCUGAGGGCUCCAACAGCUUCACCACACCCACAGAUCUACAACCAACCUACAGCAUGCACAUCCUGCCUUCUAUAAAAGAGGGAAUGUGGUUUUGCAGGCACACCCCACAUGGAACUCUAGGCAAAGCUGUGGGGAGUCAGUGUCAGUAAAAAUCACCCUUCCUCUUAUGCUCAAAGCCCAGUUCUGUUCCCAGAACCAAAAACUACUCACACAACACUUCAGGUAUCAUUUAAUACAAGUGUCUGUGCUGAGAGAAUAAAUCUUCCCUUUCCCCACCUGUGGGUCUCCCACCUGCUUCCCUCCAGAAAUUCCCAGCUGCCUCCAUCUCUCAUGUUCUCCAACAUCCUGCAUGAGCAGCCUGCCUUAAACCCUUAUCUGGCCUGUAGAGAACAUUCUCUUCCCCAGUGACCUCCACAAAUAUCCCCACAUUUGAGUUUCCCACCUGUUGUUUGGCAGAUCAAACAGCACAUCACCUGUUACAGCUUGAAAAACUCACCCUUUCUUCUGAGGACGAGGAUCCUCUUCUUGCAAACCUUCCAUUUCCAAAAUAUCAGCAUGGCCCCAAGAAGCACUGCCACAGAGAGAACCACUGCCCACAGCACUACACCUACAGCACAGAGAGGGAGCACAGAGAAAAGACAGAGGGGAAACCCUGAGUACAUCCAUGUGUUUGAACAGACAUCAUUUCACAAGUCAGGAGGGGAUUUGCAGGAAGUUCCCACAUAAAAAUUGUGUUUGCCAAAGAUACUUUCAAAUAAAAAAUGCUAGAGAGAGUAAGUGCUGUGUCUUUGUUACCUCCUGUUGUCAUCUCCCCCUUAGCUGAGGUGGGAGAAGUGCCAGCCUGGGCUUUCUCCUCAGGGGUCGAACUGGGAUUUUCAGUUGUUGUGACACUUAGAAGGUCAC
Molecule: long non-coding RNA, 3673 nt
Organism: Parus major (Great Tit)
Lineage: Eukaryota; Metazoa; Chordata; Aves; Passeriformes; Paridae
Exons: 2
Source: RefSeq, a predicted model, not a curated record